GUCGCAAGGCUGAAACUUAAAGGAAUUGACGGAAGGGCACCACCAGGAGUGGAGCCUGCGGCUUAAUUUGACUCAACACGGGAAAACUUACCAGGUCCGGACAUAAGAAGGAUUGACAGAUUGAGAGCUCUUUCAUGAUUUUAUGGGUGGUGGUGCAUGGCCGUUCUUAGUUGGUGGAGUGAUUUGUCUGGUUGAUUCCGUUAACGAACGAGACCUCAGCCUGCUAAAUAGUUAUGCUAUUCUUGAAUAGCUUAGCUUCUUAGAGGGACUUUCCGGGUCU
RNAcentral lists this ribosomal RNA (280 nucleotides) under Labyrinthula sp. Its description in RNAcentral is "partial small subunit ribosomal RNA". It matches the Rfam family "Eukaryotic small subunit ribosomal RNA", at positions 1128 to 1431 of the family's 1831-position model. Lineage: Eukaryota; Bigyra; Labyrinthulida; Labyrinthulaceae. The record is from RNAcentral.